Molecule: long non-coding RNA, 617 nt
Filed under: Pan troglodytes (chimpanzee)
Lineage: Eukaryota; Metazoa; Chordata; Mammalia; Primates; Hominidae
Description: long non-coding RNA NONPTRT011813
Source: RNAcentral
CUCGGGACGGCUCUGCCCCAGGGAGCGUGGGGCCAUCUGAGCCAAACAGAAUAGAGGGCUUGCACACAGCCCAGGAUGUGAGUUGAGCUCUGAAUGUCAAGACCAGUCCUGGACCUAUGACCACCCAGCUGGGAGGGAGCUGACAGAUGAGGAAACUGAGGCCCAGAGUGGUGCUGGAGGUCUCUGAGCCAGGAAUUGGCCCGUCGGGACUGGAAUGCAGGGCCCUGAGCCUGACAGCACUCUUCAGGAAGGGGCUAGAGCCCCGAGGGGUGAGGAAACUGAAGCUCUGAGAGCAGUAGCUCCCCUGAGCCGUGCAGCUGGAGAGUGCUGCGCCAACAGCAGAGCUGGGGCUCUUUGCAGGUGCACAGAGGAAGGGUUUGCUUCCCUUGCCGAGUUUCCUCAUGCUCACUUCCACCCCCAGCCCUCAGGUGUGUCUGACCUCUGCCCACUGAAAGGCGCCUUCCCUCUGCCGCUGGGCUUGGCUGUCUGCUUUCUUUCUGCUGCCUCUGACUUCUGCCAACUUGACAUUGGCUUCCAGUUCCUUCUGUCUUUCAGAGUUUGACAUUGUUGAUCCUCAUCCUGAAGUCUCACCUGAGUCUCCUUCACCUGGUUGUGCU